This 1428-nucleotide ribosomal RNA is filed under the name Pulchrana signata (yellow-spotted frog). RNAcentral describes it as "partial 16S ribosomal RNA". It matches the Rfam family "Bacterial large subunit ribosomal RNA", at positions 15 to 2565 of the family's 2925-position model. Lineage: Eukaryota; Metazoa; Chordata; Amphibia; Anura; Ranidae. The record is from RNAcentral.
CCAAAGCCCCUCGCUUACACCGAGGCAUUGUCUGUUUGAACCGGAUCAUUUUGAGCCCAAAAUCUAGCUCCCCCACACCCAAUACCACCCUCAACCAAUUUCCUUACAAACAAAACAUUUUUAUAAUAUAGUACAGGAGAUCGAAAAAUUUCUAGACGCUUCAGAUAAAGUACCGUAAGGGAAUGAUGAAAUAAAAAUGAAACAACUUUAAAGCCUAAAAUAGUAGAGAUAUUCCCUCGUACCUUUUGCAUCAUGGUCUAGCUAGUCUAACCAAGCAAAAAGUAACUUUAAGUUUGACACCCCGAAACUAAGCGAGCUACUUCAAAACAGCCUACAGGGCCAACCCGUCUCUGUUGCAAAAGAGUGGGAAGAUUUUUAAGUAGAGGUGAUAUGCCUAUCGAGCUUAGAGAUAGCUGGUUGCUCAAGAAAAGAGUUUUAGCUCUACCUUAAGUUUAUUUAUUUACCUAAAAACCCAAUUAAACUUAAGAGCUAUUCAAACAAGGCACAGCUUGUUUGAUACAGGAUACAACCUCCUACACUGGGUAAACAAGGGACCACAAAACAAAGUAGGCCUAGAAGCAGCCACCUUAAAAAUAGCGUUAUAGCUUGAUUAUAAAUACCCCUUAAAUUUCAUAAACCUUAAACAACCCUUCACCUCUACUGAGCCAUUUUAUAUUUUUAUAAAAACUAUAAUGCUAGAACUAGUAACAAGAAACUGCCCUUCUCCAAAAUGCAAGCAUAAACCAAAAUGUACAACACGUUGGUAACUAACGUAAAUGCAUACAAUAUAGCAACUCUUCUAGAAAACCCUAUAUACACUAACGUUAAUCUUACACCAGAGCAUUACCAGAAAGAUUAAAAGAGAAAGAAGGAACUCGGCAAACCUUAGCCCCGCCUGUUUACCAAAAACAUCGCCUCUUGUUAUACAUAAGAGGUCCAGCCUGCCCGGUGACAAAGUUUAACGGCCGCGGUACCCUGACCGUGCGAAGGUAGCAUAAUCACUCGUUCUUUAAAUAGGGACUUGUAUCAACGGCAUCACGAGGGCUGUACUGUCUCCUUUCUCUAAUCAGUGAAACUGAUCUCCCCGUGAAGAAGCGGGAAUUUAGCUAUAAGACGAGAAGACCCCAUGGAGCUUUAAGCCCGGUAUAUAGCCCGCCAUAAUCCCACUAAGCUAUAAGGCCCUAAAUACCGGCUUUAGGUUGGGGGGACCGCGGAGUAAAAUCUAACCUCCACGACUAAUGGGCUUAGCCUUUAUCCACGAACAACACUUCUAAGAAUCAACAAACUGACGUUUAAUGACCCGACAAUUCGAUCAACGAACCAAGUUACCCUGGGGAUAACAGCGCAAUCCACUUCAAGAGUCCUUAUCGACAAGUGGGUUUACGACCUCGAUGUUGGAUCAGGAUAUCCCAGUGGUGCAGUCGCUAC